This 1036-nucleotide long non-coding RNA is filed under the name Rattus norvegicus (Norway rat). RNAcentral's name for it is "long non-coding RNA NONRATT026261". Lineage: Eukaryota; Metazoa; Chordata; Mammalia; Rodentia; Muridae. The record is from RNAcentral.
GGUUGUCCCCAUGGUCCUUCCAGCCAGUAUUCACUCUGUUUCUCCUGCUACAAUGUCACAUAUGUAUAAUCUACCAUGGAAAAGUUUCCGUACCAGUCCCUAAGUCCAUUUGACUCUUCUAAGCAACGGACUGAUAUUCGGUGGAACGGCCACAGGUUUUCAGCCCAUUUUCUUACUGUAGAUUUGACAUCGUCUGACUUUACUAUUACUUGGUGUUUAGCUUGAUAAUAGGUGAUUAAAAGUUCAAUUACUUCUUUUUUUUUAAAGAUUUAUUUAUUAUAGAUGAGUACACUGUAGCUGUCUUCAGACACACCAGAAGAGGGCGUCGGAUCUCAUUACAGACCGUUGUGAGCCACCAUGUGGUUGCUGGGAUUUGAACUCAGGACCUCUGGAAGAGCAGUCAGCGCUCUUAACCACUGAGCCAUCUCUCCAGUGGGGCAAGUGCUUUUAACCUGCUGGGCUGCCUUGCCUGCCCUCCUCUCAGCUUCGCUCAGGCGAAGACAGGGUUGCUCAUGAAAAGACUAGAGACGAAGAUGAAAUGGCCACGCGCAUCUCUCCUGCGGGCAUCGGGUCCCCACUCCUGGGAACACUGGGUUCUAUGAUAGCUUAAGCCGGGCUUGCUUCCUACAGAAAAUAAAUCUGUUAAAACAAACAGACAAACAAACAGACCCUGAACUAGGAAAGUCCUCUCCAUGUAGCACAUGGUAAAGGCAGCCAUUACGCUAAGCCAAAAAAAAAAAAAAAAAAAAAAAAAAAUCACACCAAGAAGUUUCCAGACCCAGUGAAGCACCACACCCAGCCCCAGGGCGACAGGGAGGAGCCUUCCCAGUUGAGGCUCUAAGGGAGCCUGGGCAGCCCGAGGCCCUUCCCUGCUGGCCACUGAGCUGGAUCAGGGCCCUGGAGCAGCUGAUACCUGAGGCUGCCAACUGCUGUGAGCAGCUGGGGUUUUUUAAACAAGUCAGUGCUUCCUUGUUCUGAAGCUGCAAGCUUUCGUGUUCUGUGAGGAACUUCUGAGUCUUUAUACCACUGCCCUCGA